GGAACAUCUCUUACCAAGGCCUGUGAAACGCAGUUUCUUGGCAGGCCUGAUCUGGCUGAAGUAGAACUCCUGCUCUGGGCGUGCUACUUUGGCCUAGAGCUGCCAGGCCCAAAGGGCCGCCUUGUUUCCAAAGGGGCUGAGAGUCCCCAAAGUAUCUUGCUUCCAAAUCUUUGGGAAGCUAAGAAACAACUGGCUCUGCACAGUGCUCUCACAGCCUACCGGCAACGUGACAGAGAAAGGCCUGUGAGACGCAGUUUCUUGGAAGGCCUGAUCUGGCUGAGGUAGAACUUCUGCUCUGGGUGUACUCCAUUGGCCUAGGGCUGCCAGGCCCAAAGGGCUGCCUUUAUUUCCAAAGUGUGAGAGAGGCCCCAAAGCAUCUUGCUUCCUGCUCUCUGGGAAGCUAAAACAACUGGCUCUGCACAGUGCUCUCAAAGCCAACCGGGAACGUCACAUACAAAGGCCUGUGAAACGCAGCUUCUUGACAGGCCUUAUCUGGCUGAGGUAGAACUUGUGCUCUGGGUGUGCUACUUUGGCCUAGAGCUGCCAGGCACAAAGGCUGCUUUGUUUCCAAAGGGGGAGAGAGGCCCCAAAUCAUGUUGCUUCCAGCUGUUUUUGAAGCUAAGAAACAACUCGCUCUGCCAGGUACUCUUACAGCCUUCCGGGAACACCUCUUACGAAGGCCUGUGAAAAGCAGUUUCUUGGCAGGCCUGAUCUGGCUGAGGUAGAACUUCUGCUCUGGGUGUGCUCCAUUGCCCUAGAGCUGAAAGGCCCAAAGGGAUGCCUUGUUUGCAAAGGGGCAGAGAGGCCCCAAAGCAUCUUGCUUCCAGCUCUUUGGGAAGCUAAGAAACAACUGUCUCUGCCCAGUGCUCUGACAGAGUACCGGGAACAUCUCUUACCAAAGCCUUUGAAACGCAGUUUCUUGGCAGGCCUUAUCUGGCUGAGGUAGAACUUCUGCUCUGGGUGUGCUCCAUUGGCCUAGAGCUGAAAGGCCCAAAGGUCGGCCUUGUUGGCAAAGGGGCAGGGAGCCCCCAAAGCAUCUUGCUUCCAGCUCUUUGGGAAGCUAAGAAACAACUGGCUCUGCCCAGUGCUCUUACAGCCUGAGAGAAAAUCUCUUACCAAGGCCUGUGAAACGCACUUUGUUGGUGGCCUGAUCUAGCUGAAGUAGAACUUCUGCUCUGGGUGUGCUCCAUUGGCCUAGAGCUGCCUGGCCCAAAGGGCCGCCUUGUUUGCAAAGGGGCAGAGAGGCCCCAAAGCAUCUUGCUUCCAGCUCUUCGGGAAGCUAAGAAACAUCUGGCGUUGCCCAGUGCUCUUACAGCCUACCGGGAACAUCUCUUACCAAGGCCUGUGAAACGCAGUUUGUUGGUGGCCUGAACUGGCCGAAGUAGAACUUCUGCUCUGGGUGUGCUCCAUUGGCCUAGAGCUGCCUGGCCCAAAGGUCGGCCUUGUUGGCAAAGGGGCAGGGAGCCCCCAAAGCAUCUUGCUUCCAGCUCUUUGGGAAGCUAAGAAACAACUGGCUCUGCCCAGUGCUCUUACAGCCUACCGGGAACAUCUCUUACCAAGGCCUGUGAAACGCAGUUUGUUGGUGGCCUGAACUGGCCGAAGUAGAACUUCUGCUCUGGGUGUGCUCCAUUGGCCUAGAGCUGCCUGGCCCAUAGGGCCGCCUUGUUUGCAAAGGGGAUGAGAGGCCCCAAAGCAUCUUGCUUCCAGCUCUUCGGGAAGCUAAGAAACAUCUGGCGUUGCCCAGUGCUCUUACAGCCUACCGGGAACAUCUCUUACCAAGGCCUGUGAAACGCAGUUUGUUGGUGGCCUGAACUGGCCGAAGUAGAACUUCUGCUCUGGGUGUGCUCCACUGGCCUAGAGCUACCUGGCGCAAAGGGCUGCCUUGAUUCCAAAGUGAGAGAGUGGCACCAAAGCAUCUUGCUUCCAGCUCUUCGGGAAGCUAAGAAACAUCUGGCGUUGCCCAGUGCUCUUACAGCCUACCGGGAACAUCUCUUACCAAGGCCUGUGAAACGCCGUUUCCUGGCAGGCCUGAUUUGGCUGAAGUAGAACUUCUGCUCUGGGUGUGCUCCAUUGCCCUAGAGCUGCCAGGCCCAAGGUGCUGCCUUGUUUCCAAAGGGGCAGAGAGGCCCCAAAGCAUCUUGCUUCCAGCUCUCUGGGAAGCUAAGAACCAACUCGCUCUGCCCCGUGCUCUUACAGCCUACCGGGAACAUGUCUUUGAAAGGCCUGUGAAACGCAGUUUCUUGGCAGGCCUGACCUGGCUGAAGUAGAACUUCUGCUCUGGGUGUGCUCCAUUGCCCUAGAGCUGCCAGGCCCAAAGGGCUGCCUUGUUUCCAAAGACGGAGAGUGGACCCAAAGCAUCUUGCUCCCAGCUCUUCGGGAAGCUAAGAAACAGCUGGCUCUGCCCAGUGCUCUUACAGCCUAAGAGAACAUCUCUUUGAAAGGCCUGUGAAACGCAGUUUCUUGGCAGGCCUGACCUGGCUGAAGUAGAACUUCUGUUCUGGUUGUGCUACAUAGGCCUAGAGCUACCAGGACCUAAGGGCUGCCUUGUUUCCAAAGGGUGAGAGAGGCCCCAAAGCAUCUUGCCUCCAGCACUUUGGGAAGCUAAAAAACAACUGGUUCUGCCCAGUGCUCUCACAGCCUACCGUGAACAUCUCUUACCAAGGGCUGUGAAACGCAGUUUCUGGGCAGGACUGAUCUGCCUGAAGUAGAACUUCUGCUGUGGGUGUGCUCCAUUGGCCUAGAGCUGCCAGGCCCAAACGGCUGCCUUGUGUCCAAAGGGAGAGAGAGGCCCCAAAGCAUCUUGCUUCCAGCUCUGUGGGAAGCUAAAGCAACUGGCUCUCCACAGUGCUCUCACAGCCUACCGGGAACAUCUCUUACCAAGGCCUGUGAAACGCAGUUUCUUGGCAGGCCUGAUCUGGCUGAAGUAGAACUCCUGCUCUGGGCGUGCUACUUUGGCCUAGAGCUGCCAGGCCCAAAGGGCCGCCUUGUUUCCAAAGGGGCUGAGAGUCCCCAAAGCAUCUUGCUUCCAAAUCUUUGGGAAGCUAAGAAACAACUGGCUCUGCACAGUGCUCUCACAGCCUACCGGCAACGUGACAGAGAAAGGCCUGUGAGACGCAGUUUCUUGGAAGGCCUGAUCUGGCUGAGGUAGAACUUCUGCUCUGGGUGUACUCCAUUGGCCUAGGGCUGCCAGGCCCAAAGGGCUGCCUUUAUUUCCAAAGUGUGAGAGAGGCCCCAAAGCAUCUUGCUUCCUGCUCUCUGGGAAGCUAAAACAACUGGCUCUGCACAGUGCUCUCAAAGCCAACCGGGAACGUCACAUACAAAGGCCUGUGAAACGCAGCUUCUUGACAGGCCUUAUCUGGCUGAGGUAGAACUUGUGCUCUGGGUGUGCUACUUUGGCCUAGAGCUGCCAGGCACAAAGGCUGCUUUGUUUCCAAAGGGGGAGAGAGGCCCCAAAUCAUGUUGCUUCCAGCUGUUUUUGAAGCUAAGAAACAACUCGCUCUGCCAGGUACUCUUACAGCCUUCCGGGAACACCUC
Long non-coding RNA from Equus asinus (donkey), 3534 nucleotides. The record is from Ensembl. Lineage: Eukaryota; Metazoa; Chordata; Mammalia; Perissodactyla; Equidae.